RNAcentral lists this ribosomal RNA (466 nucleotides) under uncultured bacterium. RNAcentral describes it as "partial 16S ribosomal RNA". It matches the Rfam family "Bacterial small subunit ribosomal RNA", at positions 29 to 506 of the family's 1533-position model. The record is from RNAcentral.
ACGAACGCUGGCGGCGUGCUUCACACAUGCCAGUCGAACGGAAAGGCCCUGCUUUUGUGGGGUGCUCGAGUGGCGAACGGGUGAGUAACACGUGAGUAACCUGCCCUUGACUUUGGGAUAACUUCAGGAAACUGGGGCUAAUACCGGAUAGGAGCUCCUGCUGCAUGGUGGGGGUUGGAAAGUUUCGGCGGUUGGGGAUGGACUCGCGGCUUAUCAGCUUGUUGGUGGGGUAGUGGCUUACCAAGGCUUUGACGGGUAGCCGGCCUGAGAGGGUGACCGGCCACAUUGGGACUGAGAUACGGCCCAGACUCCUACGGGAGGCAGCAGUGGGGAAUAUUGCACAAUGGGCGGAAGCCUGAUGCAGCAACGCCGCGUGCGGGAUGACGGCCUUCGGGUUGUAAACCGCUUUCGCCUGUGACGAAGCGUGAGUGACGGUAAUGGGUAAAGAAGCACCGGCUAACUACGU